CCUACGGGGGGCUGCAGUGAGGAAUAUUGGUCAAUGGCCGGAAGGCUGAACCAGCCAAGCCGCGUGAAGGACGAAGGUGCCAAGCAUUGUAAACUUCUUUUGUCAAGGGACAAAAUCAGGCUCGAGAGCCUGACCGAGGGUACUUGAAGAAAAAGCAUCGGCUAACUCCGUGCCAGCGGCCGCGGUAAUACGGGGGAUGCGAGCGUUAUCCGGAUUUCUGGGGUUUAAAGGGUGCGAAGGCGGACUGUUAAGUCAGCGGUAAAAGCCCGGGGCUAAACCCCGGCGAGCCGUUGAAACUGGCUGUCUUGAGUGGGCGAGAAGUAUGCGGAAUGCGUGGUGUAGCGGUGAAAUGCAUAGAUAUCACGCAGAACUCCGAUUGCGAAGGCAGCAUACCGGCGCCCGACUGACGCUGAGGCACGAAAGCGUGGGUAUCGAACAGGAUUAGAUACCCCUGUAGUC
This 459-nucleotide ribosomal RNA is filed under the name uncultured bacterium. Its description in RNAcentral is "partial 16S ribosomal RNA". It matches the Rfam family "Bacterial small subunit ribosomal RNA", at positions 338 to 795 of the family's 1533-position model. The record is from RNAcentral.